This 4719-nucleotide long non-coding RNA is filed under the name Bemisia tabaci. RNAcentral describes it as "lncRNA ENSSSA3NGG005674". Lineage: Eukaryota; Metazoa; Arthropoda; Insecta; Hemiptera; Aleyrodidae. The record is from RNAcentral.
GUGCCACAAAUCUCAUUUUAACAAAUGAAAUGAAAUUGUCCGAAGUCAAGACAUUUUGGAACCAAAAAGUAUCGUAUCAUAUUCAUAACACACGCAGUGAAGAUCCCUCACAUAAGUAUGCCUCGUUGGCGCUAUUUCAGCAUGAGGACAGUAAAAUUCAAUGCGGUGUAUUAGAGAUUCCCCCUCAAAAUUACAAGCCAGAGCAAAAACACCGCCGUGAUUUAAUGUUAACCGUCUUGGAUGGGACUUGUGAUGUCAUAGUAAAUGGAAAACAUCAACAAUUGGAUUUUGGUUCCGUCAUGGUACUUCCCAAAGGUUCGUUGUACGGGAUCAAAAAUAUCGGCUUGAAAACUUGUAAAAUACUGUUUACGAUGAUGCCUGCCUUAGUACCUAAUUUAUCCAGUACUUAGUCACCUAUUUUGUGCCAGAUUUUAGAGUCGGAGAAGUCUUGGAAAACCGAAAAUGAAGAAAUUAUGGAAACCCUACUGUCAGUGGUCACAUUUUCUCCUCUUUUUUUAUGUUUAUUUCUUACCGUUUUGGAUGGGUGCAAACUUAGUGUUAUUAUUCAAUUCCUAAAGUACCCUUCUAAAUCCUUGAUGAGAUCAGUCGGUAGUUUUUGGAUUCGCAUCAAACGGUUAUGUGCCUAGUUUUUUACUUUUCAAUGUUGUCAGGUUUGUUGUAUGGGAUGAAAAAUAUCGGCUUGAAAACUUGUAAAAUACUGUUUACGAUGAUGCCUGCCUAAGUACUUAAUUUAUCUAGUGCUUAGUUACCUAUUUUCAUUGGUCAAUUCCCUUGGAUUUCCGUACACGGCCGAUUUUUUUCAUUACGGUUUUAAAUUUAUUUUUGUAUUAUUGUACACACUUGUCCUUAUAGUAUGUAUAUUUCUAAUUUUUAAAAAAUCAGAUUUUAUGGUGUGUGUUGUAAAAUUUUGUGAGAGUGAAUACACCAUUUUAAUGAGGAAGACAAAAAUGUUUGUCUUCUAUAGUAUGUAUACUUCUCAUUUUUAAAAAAUCAGAUUUUAUGGUGUGUGUUGUAAACAUUUUGUGAGAAUGAAUACACCAUUUUAAUUAGGAAGACAAAAAUGUUUGUCUUCUCUAUCACAGAAAAACUAUUUAUUAUGAGCAAUGCCUGUUUAAAAAAAGAGUGUACUUCCUUUUAUUUAUACUCUCUAUUUGGCUUAAAACAUGUAUUUUCCAAAAACAGUUAAACAGUAUUUUGAUGUAAAAUAUGAUGUUUUUACAAUUCGUUUUAAUACCUGUGAUAAGUAUAUUUUUUUGCUUGAAUACUUUAACAAUUAAAAGUCUACAGUCAAAUGAUUACAGAUGAGUUCUUGCAUCUCGAUCCUCUCUUAAAUCUUAUCCCUUCAUCUCAGAACAUCUUUUUUUACUCUUCUGACUCUCAUAAGAGAGUUGGUUUGUAUCUUUUGUUUUUGUUAAGGCUUUAAUAAUAGUAGAAGAACAAUUUCAAAAACGAGAGAAAAUUCAAUUGAGUUGGUAAGUAAACUAGUCUCUGAAAAAUGCAGAACGCAUGACAGAUAAAUAAAUAUGUAGUUAAAAAAUAAUUUAUUAUUCUCUUAAAAAUGGAACAAGAAGUAAAUUUAUACAAGGUUGAAAAUAUAUGAGUUUGGUCUUUUUUCCUACUUCCAUUCUUCCAACCAAAAUAGAUUGUAAUCGAAUUUAUGUUGAUUAGAUUGAACUUCAUAGUUUGGUGGUAGAUAAUAAUAUUUCAUCCGAACACUCAGUUUAAAAGUUUAAAAUUGACGGAACUAUCACCCUUUAAAAUUCCUGUAUAUCCUGAUAGAUGACAUAAUCCUCAGCAACAGUCUACAUUUACAAUUAUUUCUUACAUCUUUAUCUUACUAGUGAUGUGAACGGGCAACUAAUGCAAAUUGUAUUAAUUUCUAAAAGAAAAGAUUCUGGGGGAGCACUGCAGUGUGCGAUGAGGGAAACAUGUUCCAUUGUAUAUUUCUAACAGUGACGUCUUAUGUCUAGCAGAAUCUAAGAGUGAAGAAUUACACAAGACAAACAACUGGACGUAUUUCUACCAAACAGACCUAUGUGGAGGUGAGAAAUAUGGGGUGUGCUCGUCGAAGCUGUAUAAGAAGCAAUGUAAAAGUGGGCGUGAUUCCUUUUGAAGAAUUGGAAAAGCGGGAUAUUACAUUCUAUCAAACAGACCUAUGUGCCAACUGAAUGCGGGACUCAUGAGCCGCGGGCAUGGCACGAGAGCGUUGUGGACAGGGCUCAUGAGUUAAAGAACCCCGACGAUGACCUCCGUCUCGCGCCCCGGCUCCAUCAUUGCCGCUGACGUCACUGGCGCUUUAUUAUUCUCAUCCACUCUUACGGCCAGAGAACCAACGAGUAAACCCCAUAUUUCUCACCUUCACAUAGGUCUGUUUGGUAGAAAUACGUCCAACUGUGGUUUAGUCUGUGGAUACUUAUCAUUCAGAAAUAUUACUUUAUUUUACCUAUGACAUUCCACCAAUGAAACCAAUUGAUCCAUCAGGGUGGUUCAAAAAUGCAAGUCUUUAAACUGGAAAUAAAGAAAAGAAAAAGUUUAAAGAAACAUUUUUUACUAAUACUUUAUAUCUUUUUAAUAGCAACACUAAUAUUUCUAAAAUUUCCAGCAAAACUCUCCUGCAUUGUAAAAUGUUCAUAAAAUAAUUUUUUUUGGCUUGACUUCCACAAUCAAAACAAAACGGGUCAUUGAUGCAUUUGUUGAGUUGCUAAUCCAAAUGAAGAGGCGGCACUACUUUUUGAUCAUCAUAAAUCGCUAACAGAGCGUCGAAUAACUGUCUUUUGGCACUCUGCUCGUGAUUUCUGAUGAUCAAAAAUUAAAGGCGUCCCUUGAUUUUGAUUGGCAACACUCAACGACUCAUUAUGAUUGAUGGAACCAAACUUAUGCUCUAAUAUCAAUUGCUUAAAUUAACGUUUUGGGCUGAAGUCCCUUUUUCUGUAAAUAGUCCAACACAUAUUUCAUCAAUAAUUUGAAUAUUUUCCAAGAAGUCGGAGGAAGAAGUAGGAGGCAGGAUUCAGAUUACAAAAUUUUCACACAGCCUUUGAAGUAGGCUAAUUCUGACUAGAACACCUCCAAAAAAGAGGGAAUAAAACAGCAAACACUAAGCUUCCUUUGUUGCAAAGAUAAUAGCUUCAAGACAGCAUAGCAGCCUAUGCCUUCUUCUACACAUUCGUUUAGGAAAAAAUUAUUACCAUUAUUUUCUUUUUCAACGUCUCCUAAGGACAGUGUAAGAAAUUCGGGUUUUGAGCAGUAUCAGGCAGAUAAACCUGCUUAAAAAGUUAAUUGUAUUAGUUUAUAGUUAAGGAUCGCUGGAUUUCCUCAUUUUCUGGAUUUACAAUUAAAUGAGUAGUAGUUAAUUAUCUUCGGUGCUUUGAUUUUAAAUUUUUAAUUGGAGUAAUAAUCUUAAUCUCUUUACUUUCAGUUCUAUCCCAUGCUUUAACUGUAAUGUAAAACAGCGCACGUUCAGGUUGAGCCAUCAAAAAUCACUGAUCACUUCAUCAGGGUGAGACAUUGAGUCUUGAGGCAUGAUUUAAUAGUUAGGAUAGUUCCCCUUAGUUUAUUCUUUUAUUUUAUCAUGUUUCAAUUUUGUUGUGAAGUGUGAGGAGAAAUCUCCGCACAAUCAGGAUCCUGAAGAUGAGCAUAUGAAUGCUAGAAAUGCGUACUGUCUGAGUUUAUAAUAAGUUCGAGGAGAUCAGGACAAAAGAAGAAACAAAGAUAAUACAUUUGCUAUUAGAAGUUCGGACUGCUUCAGCCUUAAGGGCAAAGCAUGAUUGUGUGUCUGAGGCGCCUGCUCAAAUCCCGAAUUUUGAAUUUUUUAUGUUGUUUUUGGGGUGCACUAGAAAAAGAGAUGAAACGGUAUACAAAAUUUCUUAAUGAUAAAUGAAAAAAUGCCAGCGCUGUUGAAGGCAGUAACUUGGAAGCUCUCUUUGAAAGUCCAUAUAAAAUAAUCUUCAUUUGGUCUUAAUUCAUCCAAAAGUUUGAUCUGCUUGUCAUUUAGUCAGCAGUAUUUGUUCUCCACAAUUAGCUUGAUAUAUUUUACAGGUGAGAAGGAAAUUGUGGGACAAAACCAUACUUUAUUACCGGUGUGAGGUUUUCUGAUAUCCUGAAAAAACAUAGAUAAAAUCAUUGCUGAUGUUCAUUUUACAUAAAGUGCUUUAGGCAGGCUUUCAUGUUCGGUACAUUGCUUAUCUUCAUAAAUAACAGAUUUUCCUUCAUUGCAAGUGGUGGCCAAAGUGAAAAACUACGUAUCUCUGCUGCGAUGUUUCAAGAUUUUCACUCUACUUUACCUUUUCAAAGCGAAACAAGCCAACUUUAUGACUUGAAAAUCCAGAAUAUUCGGCUAACAGGAGAAAAAAAUCUAAGAAAGUUUCAUUACUUUGACUGGUUUUCCAUGGAAAAAUAAAAGUAUGACAGGAAGUCUGCAACGUCGCAAACGGAGAUACUUUGACUGUCAAUAUGUUUUUUGAUACUUUUGAGGUACUUCUUCAAAUUUUUUGUUAAUCCCUUGAAACAAAUUAAAACGGGAAUGUUGCAAGGAGCGAAAAGUUACGAUUUAUUCAGAGUAUCCUAUGGAAAAGUUUGCAAGAAGAUAAACAGCACCAAUUAUUAAAAAAGUACAGAAUGGCCCAAUAAGUUAAAAAAGAAGCUGUUUUCCAAAGAUGAUUUAUUCAAACGAGAUUUUGGAGAGACUAGCAUUGUUUGUUA